ACGUAGGGUGCGAGCGUUAAUCGGAAUUACUGGGCGUAAAGCGUGCGCAGGCGGUUCUGUAAGUCAGAUGUGAAAUCCCCGGGCUCAACCUGGGAACUGCGUUUGAAACUACAGGACUAGAGUAUGGCAGAGGGGGGUAGAAUUCCACGUGUAGCAGUGAAAUGCGUAGAUAUGUGGAGGAAUACCGAUGGCGAAGGCAGCCCCCUGGGAUAACACUGACGCUCAUGCACGAAAGCGUGGGGAGCAAACAGGA
Molecule: ribosomal RNA, 253 nt
Filed under: uncultured prokaryote
Description: partial 16S ribosomal RNA
Rfam family: Bacterial small subunit ribosomal RNA
Source: RNAcentral